UACGGAGGGUGCAACCGUUGCUCGGAAUCAUUGGGCGUAAAGCGAACGUAGGCGGCUAUGUAAGUCGGGUGUGAAAGCCCUCGGCUCAACCGAGGAAGUGCAUUCGAAACUGCAUGGCUUGAGUAUCGGAGAGGAUAGCGGAAUUCCCGGUGUAGAGGUGAAAUUCGUAGAUAUCGGGAGGAACACCAGUGGCGAAGGCGGCUAUCUGGACGAAUACUGACGCUGAAGUUCGAAAGCGUGGGGAGCAAACAGG
RNAcentral lists this ribosomal RNA (253 nucleotides) under uncultured bacterium. Its description in RNAcentral is "partial 16S ribosomal RNA". It matches the Rfam family "Bacterial small subunit ribosomal RNA", at positions 524 to 776 of the family's 1533-position model. The record is from RNAcentral.